UAACAAGGGGAGCUUGUAUGACAGGCUGAGAGGAAGUUAGGAACUUCGACCCACGACCUGAUCUGGAUAAUGCCAGCGUAGGGAUUUAU
RNAcentral lists this non-coding RNA (89 nucleotides) under uncultured Mediterraneibacter sp. RNAcentral describes it as "TPP riboswitch (THI element)". It matches the Rfam family "TPP riboswitch aptamer (THI element)", at positions 10 to 89 of the family's 105-position model. Rfam says of the family: Vitamin B(1) in its active form thiamin pyrophosphate (TPP) is an essential coenzyme that is synthesised by coupling of pyrimidine and thiazole moieties in bacteria. The previously detected thiamin-regulatory element, thi box was extended, resulting in a new, highly conserved RNA secondary structure, the THI element, which is widely distributed in eubacteria and also occurs in some archaea. Lineage: Bacteria; Bacillati; Bacillota; Clostridia; Lachnospirales; Lachnospiraceae. The record is from RNAcentral.